RNAcentral lists this ribosomal RNA (477 nucleotides) under uncultured bacterium. Its description in RNAcentral is "partial 16S ribosomal RNA". It matches the Rfam family "Bacterial small subunit ribosomal RNA", at positions 28 to 507 of the family's 1533-position model. The record is from RNAcentral.
GAUGAACGCUGGCGGCGUGCCUAAUACAUGCGAGUCGAGCGAACGGACGAGAAGCUUGCUUCUCUGAUGUUAGCGGCGGACGGGUGAGUAACACGUGGAUAACCUACCUAUAAGACUGGGAUAACUUCGGGAAACCGGAUCUAAUACCGUAUAAUAUUUUGAACCACAUGGUUCAAAAGUGAAAGACGGUCUUGCUGUCGGUUAUGGAUGGAUCCGCGCUGCAUUAGCUAGUUGGUAAGGUAACGGCUUACCAAGGCAACGAUGCAUAGCCGAACUGAGAGGGUGACCGGCCACAUUGGGACUGAGAUACGGCCCAGACGCCUACGGGAGGCAGCAGUGGGGAAGAUUGCACAAUGGGCGGAAGCCGGAGGCAGCAACGCCGAGUGCGGGAUGACGGCCUUCGGGUUGUAAACCGCUGUCGCCUGGGACGAAGCGUGAGUGACGGUAAUGGGUAAAGAAGCACCGGCUAACUACGUG